AAUUUAAAUAAAUAUAUAGUUACUUUAAUAAAUUAGAAUUAAUAUUUAAAAGUAUAUUUUAAUUUAUUUUGUUUAAAAAAAGUGUUAAAGGUUUAAGUUUUUAUUGGAUUUAAAGAGUCAAAACCCAAAAUUUUGGCCCAAUUUACACAAGAAAAGGCCCAAAUCAGCAACCCAUCUCCCAAACAACCCUUUUACCCGCCGGAUUAACCCUAACCCGCCCCACUCUAUUUUAAAUCUUGGCCAUCCAUUAAUUUUGAUCCAACGGACUCAAUUAAUUCCCACAUCCAUAUAAAAUCCUAUUUUUUACCAAACCCUAAACCUAGGACCUCUAAGCAGCCUAGCCGCCACCUUCUUCCUAACAUCUGACCAGCUGCUGACCCCGUCACACACCAUCAAACCAACCCCUAUCCUCGUCAAAAACUCGCCAGAAAACACGCAAAACAAUCGUCACUCCACUGAAUCACCCCACUUCACCGUCUUUGCCAUCUCCGCUAGAUCCCAGCGGUACCGGCGAUCCCUCUCCCAUCAUUGGAAACCAAACGCCGGAAUUCCUCCAUAGCUGCCACCAAAAGUGGCCAAAAAUCCACUAGAAUCAGGUCUGUCCGAGGAGCUCGAGAUGUGCGUUGAGGUCUCACUGAAUAUCCGGUUAGCUCGUCAUCUUUCAUUCGAGUCCAUCAAUUCUAACUGAGGUUCUGGCUGAUUUUGUUGCUGCUCGUAGAGGUUAUCUGGUCAAAAGUUCUGCUCGUCGAUUUUGUUGUUCUUUCUCGUUGGAUUUCGGAAUCAAGGGCUGUGUAUUUGCUGUUUCUUUCCAUUGUUAUACUGAAGAAAAUUCUCCUAACUUGCUGAUUUUGGUUGCCGAAUCGAGUUCCCAUCCAGCACUUUCCGGUUUUGCUUUAAGGUCCGUCAAUAUCUCAUCCUUUGUUUAUUGUCUCGGUCUUAUAUGAUAUUUGGAUGAUUAAUUUCUAUGGUAAUUAUUUUGCCGUUAAGUGCCAUACUUUCGACAUCAUCGUUCUUUCCUCUUAGUUAAGAAUUAGUUCUGUUUUAUUUCUUGCUAUCAGUUCCAUUGAUGUUUAAAUAUAACUUUGAAUGUGGGUAUGUAAGAAAUUAAAUUGGAAUAUUAAUUGACAGUGUUUGACAGUAGGGGUUAGUUCUUUAAAAAAAUGUGAAGGAAACGGUUGCUAUACUAUUUUGGAUAUCGAAUUGGACCGUGGGGGUUUGGGUUUAAACAAAAUCAAAUAAAUUCGAGCGUGAUAAUUUUCUUUGUGUCUUUGCUUGAUUGUGAACAUGCUUUAAGCCGACAAUAUUUGGGUAGACAAAUUUUAGUUUUGAGGUGAAAUAUUGUUCCUUAAAUUAAUUUAUUCGGGGAAUAUUCCAGGGGUUUAUAUAUAUUUUAUUUUAGGGGUAUGCCCGAAGUGAAUGUAGCGGAGGCCACAACUACAUCGUGGAGGAAGUAUUGUGUAGGUUAGCUUGGGAUUUACUUUUUAAUAUUUUUAGUUUUAUUUUCUUUUUAUUAUGUGGGGACGACUUCGAACCUCUUUUGGAUAUUUAUUUUUCUGUAUUUUUUACCUCAAUCGAAUAUUUUAAUAGCCAACUUGAUCAAGUACGCAACCGUAUUAGUUACGAGACUUGGGGAAUGCCUAAUACCUUCUCACCGAGUAAAAUGAACCCCCUUACCUGAAUCUCUGGUGCCGACUUAGUUUUGAGUCUGAAAUGUUUUAAAAGGAAAAAAAAAAAAAAUUUAAAAUGGUGACCUGGCACACCGAAACCAAUGUCAGGUGGCGACUCUGAGUUUGUUUCCUUUUGAAACACAAUUUUUGUCACUUUUCAAUUAAAAACCCCUUUCAAGCUUUUCAUCAAAAUCUUUUUAUUUAUUUUAAGAGAGUUAGUGAGGUUUCUUUUUUUAAAAAGGGGUGUGACAGUCGCUAUGUUCGAGCUCUCGAAGGGUCACUGGAGAUA
RNAcentral lists this long non-coding RNA (1956 nucleotides) under Nicotiana benthamiana. Its description in RNAcentral is "long non-coding RNA (NBEN_LNC005479)". Lineage: Eukaryota; Viridiplantae; Streptophyta; Magnoliopsida; Solanales; Solanaceae. The record is from RNAcentral.